AAUCGAUGAAGUCGCGGGGAGAGCUGGGGUCGAGGGAGUCCUGGUGGUCGCGGACGCUGCGGGCGAUGAGGUCCUUCAUGCGCCCGAAGUUCCGGAAAAGGCGUCGGUGCGGCCCAGGGGGUGCUCAUGAUUUGGAAGUUGUCAUUGAUGAGGCGGAUAAUGGUGAGCAGACGUUCAUCGUCGUAGUCAAAGCGGCUGCCGAAGAUCACAGAGCAGAUGAUGUUCGACACCGAGCGGCUGAGCACGAACGUGGGGUCGAAGGGCCUGCCUGAGGGUCAGGGGCAGAAUGAGUCAAGGGGCACAUUGUGCAACACACCGGAUUCCUGAAUGGCAGUACAACGAGGCAAGGUCACUUGGAGCACAAAACAAGUGCUCGUUGGCCACCCAGCAUGCGUCAUAACCGCAAGAGUACCUGGCAACGCAGAACCCACAAGGCCCUGCGGCACAUCCACACCACCACCAAGCAACGGAACAGGCUCCUCUUCGCCAUCCGACCCGCAGCACGCACCACGCAAGACAACACACGCAAUAAACAAUACAAUACUAGGUCAGCACCUGACAACACUACAGCCUCAGCCAGCAGUGACACAGCGACACAACCCCUAACACCCAGUGGUCUGACCACUGAAAGGAUCACAGAAAACAGCCCAUUAGCCAUGCCACACAGCACGGCCCAGAAAACUGAGUCUGGACUUAGAUAGAUACAGUUUGGACUUGGCCUUGGCUUCUUAAUCUCUGUGUGACCUGGAUAAACUGACUUCCCUUCUCUGAACCUCAGCUUUCUCGUCUGUAAAAUGGGCUUGGUGACAGUCUUCUCCUCAUGGGGCUGGUGGAAGGAGUUGGAAGUGUGGCUGGGUAAGGGCCUGGCCCAUCCUGAGCCUGUAUAAGCCGGGGUGCUGUGGUAGGCUGAAUAAUGCCCCCCCCCUCCCCAAAUGUCCAUGUCCUAAUCUCUAAGAGCCUGUGAACCUGUGAUUAAAUUGAGGAUUUUGAGAUGGGGAGAUUAUUCUCUGGCUUAUCCGAGUGGAUCUAAUGUAAUUACAAUGGAGGCGGAAGGGUCUGAGUAAGAAAAGGUGAUGUGAUGAUGGAGAGGGAGAGUGAGGGAGGAGGGAGAGAGAGAGAGAGAUAGAAAUACGGAUAUUGGGAGAUGCUGUGUUGCUGGCUUUGAAGAAGAGGGGAAGGGACCACGAGGUCAGGAACGUGGGUGGCCUCUAGAGGCUGGAAAAGGCAAGGAAAUGGAUUUUCCCCUAGAGUUUCCAGGAGUCAGCUCUGCCCACCCGUUUUAGUUUUAGACUUGGAUUCCAGAACUGUAAGAGAAUAAAUGUGUGCUGCUUUAAGUCA
Long non-coding RNA from Leopardus geoffroyi (Geoffroy's cat), 1338 nucleotides. RefSeq lists it as uncharacterized. The transcript has 2 exons. The record is from RefSeq and is a predicted model, not a curated record. NCBI's taxonomy places the organism in Eukaryota, Metazoa, Chordata, Mammalia, Carnivora, Felidae.